GAAAUAGAGACCAUUGUAAUGUAAGCAAAAUAAGCCAAACUCAGAAGGUCAAGGUUCAUAUGUUUUUCUCUCAUAUGUGGAAGCAAGAAAAGAAGAGUUGGGGAUUAUUUUAGUCAGCUUUUUCAUUGCUGUGACUAAAAGGAUCUGACCAGCACAAUUAUAGAGGAGGAAAAGUUUAUUUGAGGGCUCAUGGUUUCAGAGGUCUUAGUCCACAGAAGGCUGGCUCCAUUCCUCAGGGCUUGAGGUAAGGCUAAACAUCAUGGUGGGAAAGGGUGGUGGAGGGAAGCAGGUCACAUCAUGGUGAUUCAGGAAUUGGAGUGAGAUUCCACUUGCCAGAUACAAACAUAUACCCAAAACCAAACCCCAAUACCCACCUCCUUCAGCCACACCCUACCACUUUGGUUACCACUCAGUUAAUCCAUAUCAGGGGAUUAAAUCAUUGUUGGGUUAAGACUCUCACAACCCAAUCAUUUCUCCUAUGGACCUUCUUGUAUGUCUCAUAAAUGAGCUAUUGGGGGACACUUCACAUCCAAACCAUAACAGGGGUGGAUCUCAUGAAAAUCAAAGGGAGAUCAUUGGAAUAGAGGAAAGGGACCAGGUGAUGGUAGGAGAAAAGAGAGAGGGGAAGUGUUGGGGAGUGAUAUUGACCAAAUUAUAUUGUGAGCAUGUAUGAAUAUAUGACAAAAAAUCUCAUUAUUAUGUAUAACUAUAGUGCACCAAUUAAAAAUAUGGAAAGAUAUUUAAAAAAAGAAAAAGGAGAAUUCUAAUUCUGAGUAGUGCAAAAGACAUAAUUAAUUAAAACAUUAAAUGAAUUUGGCUUAAAUAUUAGACCAAACAUUAAGCCAAAUUUAACCAUUGUAUUAAAUAUACAAUCUAAUCUUAAUUCUAGCUAAUAUUUACUAUUUCUUGUAUGCC
This 915-nucleotide long non-coding RNA is filed under the name Marmota monax (woodchuck). Lineage: Eukaryota; Metazoa; Chordata; Mammalia; Rodentia; Sciuridae. The record is from RNAcentral.